UUUUAGUGGAAAAUGGUCGGGGGUGAAUACCCAACCCACUCGGGAUGGUACUCAAAGAGGGAGAGGCGCCCUAACAAGAACAGAUCGACAACCCCUAGGUAGAGGGAGGUCGUCGUUGGUACAGAUCGUUUUAGGGAGAAAUGGGU
Molecule: long non-coding RNA, 146 nt
Organism: Haliotis rubra (blacklip abalone)
Lineage: Eukaryota; Metazoa; Mollusca; Gastropoda; Lepetellida; Haliotidae
Exons: 3
Source: RefSeq, a predicted model, not a curated record